GAUGAACGCUGGCGGCGUGCCUAAUACAUGCAAGUCGAGCGAACAGACGAGGAGCUUGCUCCUCUGACGUUAGCGGCGGACGGGUGAGUAACACGUGGAUAACCUACCUAUAAGACUGGGAUAACUUCGGGAAACCGGAGCUAAUACCGGAUAAUAUCUUGAACCGCAUGGUUCAAUAGUGAAAGACGGUUUUGCUGUCACUUAUAGAUGGAUCCGCGCCGCAUUAGCUAGUUGGUAAGGUAACCGCUUACCAAGGCAACGAUGCGUAGCCGACCUGAGAGGGGGAUCGGCCACACUGGAACGGAGACGCGGUCCAGACUCCUACGAGAGGCAGCAGUAGGCAAUCGUCCGCAAUGGGCGAAAGCUUGACGGAGCGACGCCGCGUGAGUGAUGAAGGUCUUCGGAUCGGAAAACUCUGUUAUUAGUGAAGAACAAAUUUGGAAGUAACUAUGCACGUCUUGACGGUACCUGAUCAGAAAGCCACGGCUAACUACGUG
RNAcentral lists this ribosomal RNA (497 nucleotides) under uncultured bacterium. RNAcentral describes it as "partial 16S ribosomal RNA". It matches the Rfam family "Bacterial small subunit ribosomal RNA", at positions 28 to 507 of the family's 1533-position model. The record is from RNAcentral.